UNGGCAUUCUUUUUCUUUCUAGCAAGAUGAU
RNAcentral lists this non-coding RNA (31 nucleotides) under Homo sapiens (human). Lineage: Eukaryota; Metazoa; Chordata; Mammalia; Primates; Hominidae. The record is from RNAcentral.